UGAAAAGCACUUCGAACAGAAGAGUGAAAUAGUCCCUGAACCCAUACGCCUACAAGCUGUCGGAGCCGCUUCGUGCGGUGACGGCGUGCCUUUUGCAUAAUGAGCCUACGAGUUACUCAUCACCAGCGAGGUUAAGUACUUCAGGUACGUAAGCCGAAGCGAAAGCGAGUCUGAAUAGGGCGUCAAGUUGGUGGUGGUAGACGCGAAACCUUAGUGAUCUACCCAUGGGCAGGGUGAAGGUUUGGUAACACAAACUGGAGGCCCGAACCGGUAAACGUUGAAAAGUUUUCGGAUGACCUGUGGGUAGGGGUGAAAGGCCAAUCAAACUGGGAAAUAGCUCGUACUCUCCGAAAUGCAUUUAGGUGCAGCCUCUGUUGUUUUGUUCUAGAGGUAGAGCUACUGAUUGGAUGCGAGGGCUUCACCGCCUAUCAAAUCCGGCCAAACUCCGAAUGCUAGAACAUAAAGACAGGGAGUGAGCCAGCGGGUGCUAAGGUCCGUUGACGAAAGAGGGAGAACUCAGACCAUCAGCUAAGGUCCCCAAUUAUAUGCUAAGUUGGAAUAAAAACGGGGUGGGACUGCUUAGACAGCUAGGAUGUUGGCUUGGAAGCAGCCAUUCAUUUAAAGAGUGCGUAACAGCUCACUAGUCGAGCGGUCCUGCAUGGAUAAUACGCGGGCAUAAGCAUAUAACCGAAGCUAUGGGAUUGUAGAUGAUACAAUCGGUAGGAGAGCAUUCCAUUCAGCAUAGAAGCAGUACCGUGAGGUAUUGUGGAGCGGAUGGAAAAGCAAAUGUAGGCAUAAGUAACGAUAAUGCGGGUGAGAACCCCGCACGCCGAAAGAUCAAGGAUUCCCCGGCAAUGUCAAUCAUCCGGGGGUAAGUCGGAUCCUAAGGGUAAGCCGAGUGGCGAUCCCGAUGGCAAACAGGUUAAUAUUCCUGUACUGAUCAUAACUGCGAUGCAGCGACGCAGAGGUGACACUGCUGCGUACUGACGGAAUAGUACGUUGAAACCCGUAUUCUUUGAUACCGGUAGUGAAGCACGCCGGUAGAGAUGAAAGGUGAUAGUACCGCAAUGCUUCGGUUGCGCGGAUAAUGCAGGUAAGCUGACUGCCAAGAAAACCUGCUAAGCUUCAGGUAAUGAUCAUCCGUACUGUAAACGGACACACGUGAUCAGGUAGAAAAUACUAAGGCGCUCGAGAGAUUCAUGGUUAAGGAACUAGGCAAAAUGGUCCUGUAACUUCGGGAUAAAGGACGCUCUUGUGAAAGAGCCGCAGAUAAUAGGCCCAGGCGACUGUUUACCAAAAACACAUGGCUAUGCUAAUUCGCAAGAAGAUGUAUAUGGCCUGACACCUGCCCGGUGCCGGAAGGUUAAGAGGAGAGCUCAGAGGUAACUCGAAGGUUUGAAUUGAAGCCCCGGUAAACGGCGGCCGUAACUAUAACGGUCCUAAGGUAGCGAAAUUCCUUGUCGGGUAAGUUCCGACCUGCACGAAUGGUGUAACGAUCUGGGUACUGUCUCAACCAUGAGCUCGGUGAAAUUGUAGUUCCGGUGAAGAUGCCGGAUACCCGCAACGGGACGGAAAGACCCCGUGAACCUUUACUGCAGCUUUGCAUUGAUUUUGGGUAACAGAUGUGUAGGAUAGGUCGGAGGCUUUGAUGCUGCGUCGUCAGGCGUAGAGUAGCCGUCGUUGAAAUACGACCCUUUUGUUAUCUGAGGUCUAACCCGUUAGGGAGACAUUGCAUGGUGGGUAGUUUGACUGGGGUGGUCGCCUCCAAAAGUGUAACGGAGGCUUCUCAAGGUACCCUCAAGGCGUUUGGUAAUCGUCUGCAGAGUGCAAUGGCAUAAGGGUGCUUGACUGUGAGACCGACACGUCGAUCAGGUUGGAAACAAGAGCAUAGUGAUCCGGUGGUUCCGCAUGGAAGGGCCAUCG
RNAcentral lists this ribosomal RNA (1923 nucleotides) under human gut metagenome. Its description in RNAcentral is "bacterial LSU rRNA". It matches the Rfam family "Bacterial large subunit ribosomal RNA", at positions 515 to 2447 of the family's 2925-position model. The record is from RNAcentral.